Oncorhynchus keta (chum salmon) is the source of this 634-nucleotide long non-coding RNA. RefSeq lists it as uncharacterized. NCBI's taxonomy places the organism in Eukaryota, Metazoa, Chordata, Actinopteri, Salmoniformes, Salmonidae. The record is from RefSeq and is a predicted model, not a curated record. The transcript is spliced from 4 exons.
ACAGACAAGAUCAAUCUCACGCAACAUCUGACUAGAAGACAGCUAGCCGCCAUUCUACUAGCACAGUGUACUGUAUAUAUGCUCUGUAGGUGUACUGUAUAUAUGCUCUGUAGGUGUACUGUAUAUAUGCUCUGUCAGUGUACUGUAUAUAUGCUCUGUAGGUGUACUGUGUAUAUGCUCUGAAGGUGUACUGUAUAUAUGCUCUGUAGGUGUACUGUGUAUAUGCUCUGUAGGUGUACUGUAUAUAUGCUCUGUAGGUGUACUGUAUAUAUGCUCUGAAGGUGUACUGUAUAUAUGCUCUGAAGGUGUACUGUAUAUAUGCUCUGAAGGUGUACUGUAUAUAUGCUCUGUAGGUGUACUGUAUAUAUGCUCUGUAGGUGUACUGUAUAUAUGCUCUGAAGGUGUACUGUAUAUAUGCUCUGAAGGUGUACUGUAUAUAUGCUCUGUAGGUGUACUGUAUAUAUGCUCUGUAGGUGUACUGUAUAUAUGCUCUGAAGGUGUACUGUAUAUAUGCUCUGAAGGUGUACUGUAUAUAUGCUCUGAAGGUGUACUGUAUAUAUGCUCUGAAGGUGUACUGUAUAUAUGCUCUGUAGGUGUACUGUAUAUAUGCUCUGUAGGUGUACAGGUCAACCUG